This 253-nucleotide ribosomal RNA is filed under the name uncultured bacterium. RNAcentral describes it as "partial 16S ribosomal RNA". It matches the Rfam family "Bacterial small subunit ribosomal RNA", at positions 524 to 776 of the family's 1533-position model. The record is from RNAcentral.
UACGUAGGUGGCAAGCGUUGUCCGGAUUUACUGGGCAUAAAGCGCACGUAGGUGGUCCGCUAAGUCGCGUGUGAAAUCCCCCGGCUCAACCGGGGAAAUGCGCGUGAUACUGGCGGGCUUGAGAUCGGGAGGGGUGAAUGGAACUCCAGGUGGAGCGGUGAAAUGCGUAGAUAUCUGGAGGAACACCGGUGGCGAAAGCGGUUCACUGGCCCGACACUGACACUGAGGUGCGAAAGCUAGGGUAGCAAACGGG